GCAGAAAAAUCAGGUGUGAUUCUUUAUGCAUGCUUUUGGGGUAUCAUUGGUGCCAAAUAAAUCUAUCACUUCUACCAAACAAUAUUAACAAUCUUGAGUAUGUGUCAUAAAUAAAUAGGGGAAAUUACAAUAUAUUAACCCGUGGUUUGAUGCAUUUGUCAGGUAGGAUCUUGAAAUUAAGUUUGUGAUGAAAUGGUACCCUCUAGCUCUAAUAACAAAGAGGGAAAAUUACUUAGACACAGUCAAACAAGUUAGGCUAAUUACAAUUUAGUCCUUGAAGUUUAAUGAAACCGAUAGAUUAGCCCUUAUAUUUUUAAAAUCCAUCUAUUUAGCCAUUGACAUUUAAAUAAACCAACGUAUUGGUCUAUCCGUCUAAUUUUCCAUCUAAUUUAUCUUCAGUUAUACUAAAAAUACCA
This 416-nucleotide unclassified non-coding RNA is filed under the name Hevea brasiliensis (rubber tree). Lineage: Eukaryota; Viridiplantae; Streptophyta; Magnoliopsida; Malpighiales; Euphorbiaceae. The record is from RNAcentral.